RNAcentral lists this long non-coding RNA (3448 nucleotides) under Drosophila guanche. Lineage: Eukaryota; Metazoa; Arthropoda; Insecta; Diptera; Drosophilidae. The record is from RNAcentral.
CCCCACUGUACGCAUUCCAGCGAGAGCCCACAUGCAAGAUCAGAAGCUGUUAUCUUGAAAAGCUCUCUCUUUCGAAAUUGCAUGUGCGAGCACCGUUCACAUGAGAGCUUUUCUCUCUGCAAACAUAGCUUACGGCUAGCCCUUCGAGAACCUUCUUAGCUCUCUCACACACAGCUUUUGGAGGGGUAAAAUAGUUAGGCUAAGUGCAUGCUGCACAGAACAAAAAUUGCAUUCAAGGUUGGAAGACUUAAUUGAUGUGCGUGUAGAAAAUAUACAAAAAAAAAAAAAACGUGGUGAAAAUUUUGCAAAACCAUAAAAGGGAACAUAAACCAAAUAAAACCAAUAUAAAAGUGUUGUGGCUGCAAAGACGAAAACUUAAAAACCAACCCCUGGAUAAGGUACGCCAAGAAAAAAAUGAAAAAGUGACCUUAUUACAUAAUUCCAUGUAUGUACUGUACAUAGGUUAUGAUCCACGUGUGGCAGGAAAUUGCUGACCUGGCCUGACCCUCGGUCCCGGAGGGGGGGUCCGCUCCAGUACCACGAUCAUCAGUCCUUCUUUUUGGUGCCACCGGACCUUGCCUGCAGGUUGUUGGUUUAUACAUAUAUCGAGUUGUUUAUAUAUAUAUAUCUCACGCGCAACUAUAAAACCAUCUAUUAUAUUAUAUCACCGCGCCUUGUGUAAAGAAAUGUUGGUGCUUGCAUAUGUAGGGUGUGGAAAAAUUAGCUCAGCGGUCAUUGCCCUUGCGGCUGACCAUACACCUAUGCGCACUUAAAUAGACCCACCUGACCGUAUGUCACCUAUUCUCUCCUUCUCUCAGGUUAUUAAAAUUGUUCGAUGCCGACAUUCUAAAAGCCACUUAAGGGAAGAAAAGUAAAUCACAAAAAUCUAGAAAAGAAAAUAAUGAAAAAUCAUGGAGAGAAGAAAAAAAAUAGAAAAGAAAAUUGUUCAAUAAUAUUAAAUAUUCCUAGACAUUAACUUAGAAAUAGAAGAAGAAAAACAUGAAAUUUAUGCGUAGUUAAUAAUAGAUUCUAAAGGGUGCAUCAUCGGUCUCAUUGUGUCCAUGGAAGGGUAUUGGUAAAAUACCUCUUCAUAACGCUUCUUGUUAUUUUGCAUAUUUCUACAUUUCUUUAACAGUUAGAACGUGAAAUUGGGCCCAACGACACCAACAGCUGUUUAAAAGUCUGUAAGUAGACACACAUAUACACACAUACACUCCGGGUCAGGAGAAUAGCGUCUACACAGUGAGACAUGCAUGCUUAACCAUAUAUAAAAUGAAUUAUUAUUAACUAUAAUCACUACAAUUAUGCCAUUUAAUUCAUUUAAUUAAUUAAUUCUUACUUUAUAUUUUGAUUAUAUUAUUUUUAUUCAUAUUUGAUCAUUCUCUUGAAUUCCUAUGUAUUAAAUUAGUCCCACAUAUAUAUACACAUGCAGUAAAAAUAGUUUUAAGGGUUAGGGUAGAAAUAAUGGGGGUUACAAACAACCUGAAGUCAUACAAGUCAAANUUGAUGUGCGUGUAGAAAAUAUACAAAAAAAAAAAAAAAAAAAAAACGUGGUGAAAAUUUUGCAAAACCAUAAAAGGGAACAUAAACCAAAUAAAAACCAAUAUAAAAGUGUUGUGGCUGCAAAGACGAAAACUUAAAAACCAACCCCUGGAUAAGGUACGCCAAGAAAAAAAUGAAAAAGUGACCUUAUUACAUAAUUCCAUGUAUGUACUGUACAUAGGUUAUGAUCCACGUGUGGCAGGAAAUUGCUGACCUGGCCUGACCCUCGGUCUCGGAGGGGGGGUCCGCUCCAGUACCACGAUCAUCCGUCCCUCUUUUUGGUGCCACCGGACCUUGCCUGCAGGCGAAAAAACGGAUGGACUUGGCGAUCGGGACCGAGUUGUUUAUAUACAUAUAUCUCACGCGCAACUAUAAAACCAUCUAUUAUAUUAUAUCACCGCGCCUUGUGUAAAGAAAUGUUGGUGCUUGCAUAUGUAGGGUGUGGAAAAAUUAGCUCAGCGGUCAUUGCCCUUGCGGCUGACCAUACACCUAUGCGCACUUAAAUAGACCCACCUGACCGUAUGUCACCUAUUCUCUCCUUCUCUCAGGUUAUUAAAAUUGUUCGAUGCCGACAUUCUAAAAGGCACUUAAGGGAAGAAAAGUAAAUCAAAAAAAUCUAGAAAAGAGAAUUUAAUGAAAAAUCAUGGAUAGAAGAAAAAAAAUAGAAAAGAAAAUUGUUCAAUAAUAUUAAAUAUUCCUAGACAUUAACUUAGAAAUAGAAGAAGAAAAACAUGAAAUUUAUGCGUAGUUAAUAAUAGAUUCUAAAAGGGUGUAAGAUCGGUCUCAUUGUGUCCAUGGAAGGGUAUUGGUAAAAUACCUCUUCAUAACGCUUCUUGUUAUUUUGCAUAUUUCUACAUUUCUUUAACAGUUAGAACGUGAAAUUGGGCCCAACGACACCAACAGCUGUUUAAAGGUCUGUAAGUAGACACACAUAUACACACAUACACUCCGGGUCAGGAGAAUAGCGUCUACACAGUGAGACAUUCAUGCUUAACCAUAUAUAAAAUGAAUUAUUAUUAACUAUAAUCACUACAAUUAUGCCAUUUAAUUCAUUUAAUUAAUUAAUUCUUACUUUAUAUUUUGAUUAUAUUAUUUUUAUUCAUAUUUGAUCAUUCUCUUGAAUUCCUAUUAUUAAAUUAGUCCCACAUAUAUAUACACAUGCAGUAAAAAUAGUUUUAAGGGUUAUGGUAGAAAUAAUGGGGGUUACAAACAACCUGAAGUCAUACAAGUCAAAGUAAAAUUAUAACGAUUUAACAUGAAUUUCUAAUCUGAUUUUUGGGAGGGGUUCCUAAGGCACAUAGGCAGCAGCGGCAGGUUUUGGGUAGAACCAUAAUGGCAUAUUCUUGUGUUAUUCUACAUGGAGAGUGGGUCAAGAGGGAAGAGCACAACCACCUUGCUCUUCACAGUAGGUAGUGGACCUUAAGUUCCGUCCGGGUUUGUAAUUCCAAUCCCAGUUCCCGUGAAUCUGUCUACGAUUUUGUUAGGUGAAGGAGUUCGUUUUCGCAGCACAACACCCACCCCAUUUGCCCUGAGCCUAGCCGGCAACUUUUAGUAGACAGAGAGUGCUGACGAGACGACACUUCCCGUGUCCGUUACAUAAUAAAUGGCGCCCAACGUGGGGCUCGAAUGGUCCGUUUUCCCAAUAACCUUCCCCAAUCCCUUCCGCAACCCAAUAUUGAUCCAAAUUUUAAGGUAGUUCAGUUUUUGUGUUAUAUGUCCAGCUCGGAACUGCUGGGAAUCUGAUCAUUGUCGGACACAGACCAGUGGAUAUAUUGCAUAGAAGAAGAUCACAGUAGACUUCAUUAUAUCAUUUCAUCAGGAUACUAGGAACGAUAGUUCUGAGUAAAUUGGUUCUAUACCUAGUAGCGAAGAUGAAUGACCUUUAUUCUCUCGAGAUUAGUUGAGA